RNAcentral lists this ribosomal RNA (449 nucleotides) under uncultured bacterium. Its description in RNAcentral is "partial 16S ribosomal RNA". It matches the Rfam family "Bacterial small subunit ribosomal RNA", at positions 338 to 795 of the family's 1533-position model. The record is from RNAcentral.
CCUACGGGUGGCUGCAGUGGGGAAUUUUGGACAAUGGGCGAAAGCCUGAUCCAGCCAUGCCGCGUGAGUGAAGAAGGCCUUCGGGUUGUAAAGCUCUUUCGCAAGGGAAGAAAACUUACUCAAUAACACUGGGUGAGGCUGACGGUACCUUGAUAAGAAGCACCGGCUAACUACGUGCCAGCAGCCGCGGUAAUCCGUAGGGUGCGAGCGUUAAUCGGGCGUACUGAGCGUAAAGCGAGAGCCGGCGGUGAAAUCCCCGGGCUCAACCUGGGAACUGCGUUUGGAACUGCAAGGCUAGAGUGUGUCAGAGGGAGGUAGAAUUCCACGUGUAGCAGUGAAAUGCGUAGAGAUGUGGAGGAAUACCGAUGGCGAAGGCAGCCUCCUGGGAUAACACUGACGCUCAUGCUCGAAAGCGUGGGGAGCAAACAGGAUUAGAUACCCCAGUAGUC